UACGGAGGGGGCUAGCGUUGUUCGGAAUUACUGGGCGUAAAGCGCGCGUAGGCGGACCUGCAAGUCGGGGGUGAAAGCCCGAGGCUCAACCUCGGAACUGCCUUCGAUACUGCGGGUCUCGAGUCCGGGAGAGGUGAGUGGAAUUCCUAGUGUAGAGGUGAAAUUCGUAGAUAUUAGGAAGAACACCAGUGGCGAAGGCGGCUCACUGGCCCGGUACUGACGCUGAGG
This 228-nucleotide ribosomal RNA is filed under the name uncultured bacterium. Its description in RNAcentral is "partial 16S ribosomal RNA". It matches the Rfam family "Bacterial small subunit ribosomal RNA", at positions 524 to 751 of the family's 1533-position model. The record is from RNAcentral.